UCAAGCUACUAAGGGCUUAUGGUGAAUGCCUUGGUGCCAAGAGGCGAUGAAGGACGUAGCAAGUUGCGAUAAGCCACGGGGAGCCGCAAGCAGGCAUUAAUCCGUGGAUUUCCGAAUGGGACAACCCAGCCAGUUUCAUAACUGGUUAUCAUUGGAUGAAUUCAUAGUCCAAUGAAGCGAAACGGGGUGAAGUGAAACAUCUCAGUAACCCCAGGAAAAGAAAACGAAGCGAUUCCGUCAGUAGUGGCGAGCGAAAGCGGAACAGUCUAAACCGGGAGGACUUGUCUUCCCGGGGUUGAGGGACCUUAAUGUGACAGGCCGAGAGUUAGCAGAAUCUUCUGGAAAGUUGAGCCAUAGACCGUGACAGCCGGGUAAGCGAAAACUCAAAGCCGUCUAGAGGUAUCCCAAGUAACACGGUGCACGUGAAACUCUGUGUGAAUCCGUCCGGACCACCGGAUAAGACUAAAUACUCCUUGGCAACCGAUAGUGAACUAGUACCGCGAGGGAAAGGCGAAAAGAACCGCUGUUAGCGGAGUGAAAUAGAACCUGAAACCAUAUGCCUACAAUGUGUAGGAGCCAUGCCGCAAGGUGUGGUGACUGCUUGCCUUUUGCAUAAUGAGUCUGCGAGUUAUUAUCAGUGGCCAGCCUAAAUUGCUUUGCAAUGGAGGCGAAGGGAAACCGAGUGCCAAUAGCGCGAUUAGUCGCUGGUAAUAGACCCGAAGCGGAGGUGAUCUACUCUUGAGCAGGUUGAAGCUGCAGUAACAUGCAGUGAAGGACCGAACUCGUAGAUGUUGAAAAAUCUUGAGAUGACUUGAGAGUAGGAGCGAAAGACUAAUCAAACCCCGUGAUAGCUGGUUCUCUCCGAAAUCGCUUGAGGGCGAGUCUUAUGGAAGUACCCGGCGGAGGUAGAGCACUGAAUGGCUUAGAGUCCCCACCAGGAUAUCAAAACCAAUCAAACUCCGAAUACCGUCGGUCUCAGUAUCAUAGGAAUCAGGCAGUGGGCGAUAAGGNNGAUUAAGUGGAAAGGAUGUGACUUUGCUUAGACAGUGAGGAUGUUGGCUUAGAGGCAGCCAUCAUUUAAACAGUGCGUAAUAGCUGACUCAUCGAGCGAGGUCGCGCCGAAAAUGAUUGGCGAUCAAAUCACAUACCGAAGCUAUGGAUUGAAGAGGUCUUCGGAUCUUUUCAGUGGUAGGAGAGCGUAAUCAGUGCUGCGAAGCCGGACGGAAAUGGACGGUGGAGCGCUGAUUAGUGAGAAUGCAGACACGAGUAGCGAUAAACCAGAUGAGAAUUCUGGUCGCCGUAAACCCAAGGUUUCCUGGGCCAGGUUCGUCCUCCCAGGGUUAGCCGGGAGCUAAGAUGAGGCCAUAAGGCGUAAUCGAUGCACAGCAGGUUAAAUAUUCCUGCGCCCGCCGGGAUUAAGGCUGCGAAUGACGCAUGGGAAGACAUCAACUAGGCAAUCGAAUGCUGAGCUUAGGCUUCGGCCAAAGCGUAUUGGUGGGUUCCUGUGCCUAGAAAAGUUUGCAGUCGUUUCCCCGACGGCCCGUACCGUAAACCGACACAGGUGGGUGAGUGUAAGCGCACUCAGGCGCGCGAGAGAAACCUCUCUAAGGAACUCGGCACAUUAGCCUCGUAACUUCGGGAAAAGAGGUGCNNUAAAUUGCGUUUAGCGACUGUUUAACAAAAACACAGCUCUCUGCAAAGUCGUGAAGACGACGUAUAGGGAGUGACAAGUGACCAAUGCGGAAAGAUUAAGAGAUUUUGUUAGUCCCGCGCAAGCGGGACGAAGCUCGGUCUUUAAGUCCCCGUGAAUGUCGGCCGUAACUAUAACGGUCCUAAGGUAGCGAAAUUCCUUGUCGGGUAAGUUCCGACCUGCACGAAUCUUGUAACGACUGAACGACUGUCUCGGAGAGGAUCUCGGCGAAACUGUAACGGCGGUGAAGAUGCCGCCUGCCCGCAGUAGGACGGAAAGACCCUAUGCACCUUUACUGUAAGCUCGUAUUGUGUUCUGGUUCGUGAUGCGUAGCGUAGGUGGGAGACUUUGAAGCGGGGGCCUCGGUUCCCGUGGAGUCGCAAUGUGAAACACCACUCUUUGCUAAUUAGGAUUCUAACCUCAUGCUGUAAGCCAGCUGGGGGACAGUGCGUGCGGGUCAGUUUGACUGGGGCGGUUUCCUCCCAAAGAGUAACGGAGGAGCGCGAAGCUUGGCUCAGCACGGUUGGCAACCGUGCGUUGAGGGUAUGGCUAGAAGCCAGGUUAACUGUGAGACCUACAAGUCGAGCAGGUACGAAAGUAGGCCCAAAUGAUCCGACGUUUUAAUGUGGAAUUGACGUCGCUCAACGGACAAAAGGUACGCUAGGGAUAACAGGCUGAUCGGGUCCAAGAGUUCACAUCGACGACCCGGUUUGGCACCUCGAUGUCGGCUCAUCGCAUCCUGGGGCUGGAGAAGGUCCCAAGGGUCCGGCUGUUCGCCGGUUAAAGCGGUACGCGAGCUGGGUUCAGAACGUCGUGAGACAGUUCGGUCCUUAUCCACUGUGGGCGCAGNNGCACUUCUGGUGUGGCAAUUGUCGCGUCAGCGGCAUCGUUGCGUAGCCAUGUGCGGAAGAGAUAAGCGCUGAAAGCAUCUAAGUGCCAAGCUCAUCCCAAGAUAAUGUCUCCCGGGGCGCAAGCUCCCUAAAGACCACGGGCAGACCACCCGUUUGAUAGGCCAGAGGUGUAAGCGUCGUAAGGCGUUUAGCCGACUGGUACUAAUCGGUCGUGCGGCUUGNNNNN
This 2767-nucleotide ribosomal RNA is filed under the name Limisphaerales bacterium. RNAcentral's name for it is "bacterial LSU rRNA". It matches the Rfam family "Bacterial large subunit ribosomal RNA". The record is from RNAcentral. Lineage: Bacteria; Pseudomonadati; Verrucomicrobiota; Verrucomicrobiia; Limisphaerales.